RNAcentral lists this unclassified non-coding RNA (385 nucleotides) under Hevea brasiliensis (rubber tree). Lineage: Eukaryota; Viridiplantae; Streptophyta; Magnoliopsida; Malpighiales; Euphorbiaceae. The record is from RNAcentral.
GGGACUUCAUACCAAUCUAACCAUUCAACAGGAAAGAAAUUAUGAAUAAGAAAAGCUAGUAGAAGAUCUAUGAAAGUUUUGUGGCUUAACAAGAACAAGGAGGUUUAGUCACUGAUACAGCCUUGCAUUCAUACAUUUAGUUAAGUAUCAACUUCCAAAUGAUAAAAUAGAGCAGAAAAGUUUGAAAGAAAUGUCGAAAGUUGGUGUCUGAUACAGCCUUUCGAAUAACUCAUUAUUCAAAUAGUGAUGUAAUUUUGAUAAGAGAAUGAAGAAGGUGGCUGUUGUAUCUUGAUCCACAAAGAAGCAUCAGGUCCAUAUCUUGAUCCACUGGUCAUGGCUCACUGAAGCUAUGGUUCCACCCAAAGGUGAACCUGCUAGUGAAGUA